GCCUUCGUGGUGUAACGGUAGCACACUCGGCGCGUAAUCGAGAAGUCCAGGUUCGAGUCUCGGAAGGCA
Non-coding RNA from Stegodyphus mimosarum, 69 nucleotides. Lineage: Eukaryota; Metazoa; Arthropoda; Arachnida; Araneae; Eresidae. The record is from Rfam.